UUAACCGUAUAGGGGAGCCGAAGGGAAACCGAGUCUUAACUGGGCGUUAAGUUGCAGGGUAUAGACCCGAAACCCGGUGAUCUAGCCAUGGGCAGGUUGAAGGUUGGGUAACACUAACUGGAGGACCGAACCGACUAAUGUUGAAAAAUUAGCGGAUGACUUGUGGCUGGGGGUGAAAGGCCAAUCAAACCGGGAGAUAGCUGGUUCUCCCCGAAAGCUAUUUAGGUAGCGCCUCGUGAACUCAUCUUCGGGGGUAGAGCACUGUUUCGGCUAGGGGGUCAUCCCGACUUACCAACCCGAUGCAAACUGCGAAUACCGAAGAAUGUUAUCACGGGAGACACACGGCGGGUGCUAACGUCCGUCGUGAAGAGGGAAACAACCCAGACCGCCAGCUAAGGUCCCAAAGUCAUAGUUAAGUGGGAAACGAUGUGGGAAGGCCCAGACAGCCAGGAUGUUGGCUUAGAAGCAGCCAUCAUUUAAAGAAAGCGUAAUAGCUCACUGGUCGAGUCGGCCUGCGCGGAAGAUGUAACGGGGCUAAACCAUGCACCGAAGCUGCGGCAGCGACGCUGAUGCGUUGUUGGGUAGGGGAGCGUUCUGUAAGCCUGUGAAGGUGGCCUGUGAGGGUUGCUGGAGGUAUCAGAAGUGCGAAUGCUGACAUAAGUAACGAUAAAGCGGGUGAAAAGCCCGCUCGCCGGAAGACCAAGGGUUCCUGUCCAACGUUAAUCGGGGCAGGGUGAGUCGACCCCUAAGGCGAGGCCGAAAGGCGUAGUCGAUGGGAAACGGGUUAAUAUUCCCGUACUUGGUGUUACUGCGAAGGGGGGACGGAGAAGGCUAUGUUGGCCGGGCGACGGUUGUCCCGGUUUAAGCGUGUAGGCUGGUUUUCCAGGCAAAUCCGGAAAAUCAAGGCUGAGGCGUGAUGACGAGGCACUACGGUGCUGAAGCAACAAAUGCCCUGCUUCCAGGAAAAGCCUCUAAGCAUCAGGUAACAUCAAAUCGUACCCCAAACCGACACAGGUGGUCAGGUAGAGAAUACCAAGGCGCUUGAGAGAACUCGGGUGAAGGAACUAGGCAAAAUGGUGCCGUAACUUCGGGAGAAGGCACGCUGACACGUAGGUGAAGUGAUUUACUCAUGGAGCUGAAGUCAGUCGAAGAUACCAGCUGGCUGCAACUGUUUAUU
This 1177-nucleotide ribosomal RNA is filed under the name Salmonella enterica subsp. enterica serovar 8,(20):-:z6. RNAcentral's name for it is "partial 23S ribosomal RNA". It matches the Rfam family "Bacterial large subunit ribosomal RNA", at positions 646 to 1808 of the family's 2925-position model. Lineage: Bacteria; Pseudomonadati; Pseudomonadota; Gammaproteobacteria; Enterobacterales; Enterobacteriaceae. The record is from RNAcentral.